ACAGGUCACGUUGUUAUUCUACAGCUAAAAAAUACAAUUGAGAAGUUCAUUUAUCUAAGCAAAUUAAUUUAUUUAUUUUUCAUUCUAUACACUAAUAUUUAUUUCUUUUUGUUUUUUCAUUAAGGCACACAUUAAACUUCUGCAUUCAGAUCACACUAUAUACAUUCUCUAUGAUUUUAAGCUCAGGUCAGUUUGCUGACUAAUCAACGGGUACAGCAGCCGUGAAAGCAGGUUUUGGUACUUUUGGCAGUGUAGACAGGUGGCAAGUCCUGAAGGAAAAUAAAAUCAGUAUCUAUAUAAAGCUUGUCAGAGGAAGGAGGCAUGAAAAUCUCUCCAAGUUCCUUGUAGGCAGCUGUGCUGACCAUGGGGCUGAUAAAAACAAACUGGACUAACACCAGUACACGACAAGACUCUGUAAAUCAUCACUGACAGAGAAACCUUCACGCUUGACCUUGUAUUUUGUGGUUUCCCUUCGUUCUUUCAAACUUACUUACUCUAAAACUCCAAAUUAAAUGAAACGGGUAAUAAAAUGUACUUCUAUUUGAAAAGAGGACUUUGAAGCAGGUUAGACACUACUGAUGAUGUCUCUGGUGCAGAACUGACUUAAAGUCAAGGAACCCAAUGGUUGUAGUCCAUCUUUUGUAAUCAUUUGUGAUUGCUCUCGAAGGGCUGACUCUAGUUGUGAAUUUUCCUCUAUACUCUUUAAUGAAUGUUGCUUUAUAAUCCUCUCAAACCUUGGCAACUCCUGUUGCUGGUGCGUGUUUUUCUACCACGCUGUUUCCUUCCACUCAACUUUCUAUUAAUAUGCUUAUGUAACCCCCAUGGUCUGUCGGUAUGUUUAAUGUGUUGUCUUAGUUCUUAGAAUGUCCUGUAGAGGGCACUAGACCCAAAUUUCUCCUGUGUCGGAAAAGAAGAAGAGUAAGGCAUAAGGGAGAAGAAGGAGAAAUGGCAGACUAUGCAGACUAAGCAUGUUUCAGCAGAAAUAGAGAAGUCACUAGUCACUACUGCUGCUGUUAUACGAAAGAAAUCUGUAAUUUUGAACUGGAUUAWGUACAUUCUGUUCCAGGAUUUCUCCGGUUGGUUUUUUUAAUGGCCGACAUCUGAACGUGGAGUUCCAGAAGCAGGAGGGCCCCGCCGCCAUCUUUGUGACUCGGACUGAAGCCUGGAAAGAGGAGGGACUGUGCGGCUGAAGCUGGACAUUUUGCUUGGACAACAGAUAAGCUUUUUGAACAAAAAGGGGCCCCCAAUACCUCGAAUUAGUUUUUUUAUUCCACAAACUAUUUGUUCAGAAAAAUUUUUUCCCAAAAAAUUGACUAUCUAUGUGCACAUUGACUGAAUUGACUGACUGAACUGUAUAUUGACUGACUAACUGGGAAAUGUAAUUUUUUUCUCUUGGAAAAGAAGCGGUUGCUGAAAUGAGCUUCCUUAAGCUAUUAUAACUUAAGAAACCUACCCUUAUUUUUCUGAAUAUUUUGUUUUUUCUAAGGGUGGACAAUUUAAGUUUUAUUAAUCUUCAUGAAGGUAAUUGGUGUUAUCUGAAUUAUUAUUCUUUUGUGGGGAAAGAAAAAUAAACUGGAGUUGUUGAAUUUA
Poecilia reticulata (guppy) is the source of this 1590-nucleotide non-coding RNA. Lineage: Eukaryota; Metazoa; Chordata; Actinopteri; Cyprinodontiformes; Poeciliidae. The record is from RefSeq and is a predicted model, not a curated record.